Betta splendens (Siamese fighting fish) is the source of this 2221-nucleotide long non-coding RNA. RefSeq lists it as uncharacterized. Lineage: Eukaryota; Metazoa; Chordata; Actinopteri; Anabantiformes; Osphronemidae. The transcript is spliced from 4 exons. The record is from RefSeq and is a predicted model, not a curated record.
GGGGCUUUGUGGGUCACUUUUAUUUUAAACGGACCGGUGCCAGAAACACUGCCUCAGCAUUUAUACGUAUGUGCAUUUCAAACGAGGGUGCGUACAAUGCUGGAUUUGUUUCACGGCUCCUCCGUCAUUCACUCACUGAAUUAAGUACAUGCUUGAUAUUUAUAAUGUUUUAAAAUGUUAAUUGGUCUGUUUAAAAUGUAGUAACCCAUGAGUGAGGCAAGUUAGUAGCUAGCUAUGCUAACGGCUACAGCCAGUCGACCCAGCCUUUGUCCCCUUCAAAUGAGCUUAUGUGGGCUCCUGCAGCCACACGACUGUGAUUAUCGGCAUCGAGCAGCGACAGGCAGGGAGCGGUCGGUGUAGCUUUUGGCCUUUUUCUGUAAUCUCAUACACCUGGGGGGAACAGCUGAUAGCUCUCAGCCUUCGAGCGGCGGCAGGGAGGGAGUUCUGGAUCUAGCUCAAUGUAGUAAGUUUGUGCUUGAUACUUGUGAUGUCUUAAUAUGUUAGUUGGUCUUUUUAAACUGUAGUAACCCACAUGUGAGACAAGCUAAUCGCUAGCGUUGCUAACGGCUACAGUGAGUCAACCGAGCCUCUGUCCCUUUUUAAAUGUGCUACUGAGUUGGCGCAAUCACACAUUUUGCACUUUAGAGCUACAGCUGGUCGAUCGCUAUAAUAAUGUUAGUUUCAUGUGUUAUAUUAUGUUAGUUAGUGAAUGCAAUAAUGUUAGUUCUCCUUUAAAGGAGACUGAUCAUACUUUUCAUUCUAAAGAAUAUUGGACUUCAAUGUCUCUGUAAGGUCUCUGUAAAUUUUCAUUCCAUAAAACCCUUUAGAUCGUCCACACUGCAAUGUGUGUUUUUCACUCCCCAUCAGUAAAAACUCUGGUUUGUGGGUGUGUCGCAAGCGAAGCUGCUCGCCACACCCCGUGCGGAAGCACACACCUUUUAUAUUUUUGUUGUUUUUUUUAAUUGGCUUCAUGGAUAAGAGCCACCGCACGGUUAGGAUACAAUAGGUGGCAGUAGUGCAACAUUGAGAAUGCAAUCCACCGCAGUCCUCCACAGAAGAAGACCCACUACAGGACUGCACAACAAUGGCCAGCUGGUUCGUAGCGUAGUAGAACCAUGCAUCUACGAUCCCGAAUCUGACCCUGAAGCUGAUGAGGAGGCUCUUGAAGUCACCACAUUUUGGCUGAUGCAAGAUGUGUCUCAGUGUUGUUACAGGUAUCUAGUCUACAGAGGCUUAUGAGCUGAUGCUGGGGAUUCCUGGGGUGAAGAAUCUGAGUUGCCAUCUCUUCAUGCUUGACAGACCAAGGAGGGGGGCUGCUGACAGUCGGCUGAUGAGGGUGUGAUAAGUGUGUGAUCAGCGUCAGAAAGGUGACUGACAGUCGACUGAAAUCAGCGAAAAUGAACCGCUCCAUCUGUACCACCACCACCACAGAGUCUCCUCAGCAGUGUGGAAUAACAGCAGACUGCCCUCUGCGAAAAUCCAUCACCAUCUCUUUUGUUCUCCCUGCGGUCAUCAGGAGGUGGUUCCGCUGACACCAGUCCACAAAGUCCUGAGUGAGUCCUCUGUAUUCUUCAUCGUGAUCAGGCUGACAAUUGCAGAGUCAUUAGAGAACUUCUGCAGAACACAGCUGUACAUGUUGUGCCUGAAGUCUGACGUAUAGAGGGAGAGAAUGAUUGAUUGGUGGUGUAAAUGUUAAUGGCUGCAUAGGGAGGGAGAACCAAAUGUUAACCUGUUUUUUUGGUGAGGGAUUCUGGUUGUCAAGGCAACUGAGGGGGAAACCCACACAGCUGCUGUCCAGCUAGUGUUACAUGUCAUGUGAGGGAACUGUGGUGUUCAAUGCCGCAUUUCAUAAGUUUCUACAGAGUUCUUAGUGACAUGUUGGUGUAAGUGACUUUAACUUCAAUUAAAUGCUUGUUGUACAGUUAUUAAUUAUGUUAUGACACUUUUACAAAAGGAUGAUUUAAUGACAAGAGUUUAUGUCUAGAAGCUUUAUGGUGUCAUUAUAUCAUGACAUAGGUAUUUUAGGGCCUUUUCCUUGACAAUUAUAUGACAUUAUUGCAGCGUUUAGAGGGUCUGGAGAGGGUCUGGAUAUUACUGGUGUAAUAUCAGGGUUGUUGCUUCUGAAAGGCUCCUGAGGUAUUAGGAGAGACCAGUGGCAGUCGCUGUAGAACAACAGGCUGGGUUUCAUAAUAUGAAAGGCCCAGUGCAGCCUUUACCUCAA